This is a long non-coding RNA of Rana temporaria (common frog), 1039 nucleotides long. RefSeq lists it as uncharacterized. Lineage: Eukaryota; Metazoa; Chordata; Amphibia; Anura; Ranidae. The record is from RefSeq and is a predicted model, not a curated record. The transcript is spliced from 2 exons.
AUUCUCCCAUAUUAUUUAUUUUCUUUCCUCCAGCUUGAUGACUGCUCUUUCUAUCAGAUCCUGCUUGGGAGGAAAGGCUGUAAAAGCCUGUGCAGCUCAAACAGCUGUCUACACGCAGCUAAAGGAACUGGCUAAUUUGUUCUUUUAUCAUUUUCAUCUUGGUCUGGACUGUAACUGAAAUGGGAGGGAACUGGUAAUGAGUGAAGUGUAUAUAAUCAAAAAAAAACUUGGGGAAACUUUUAAAGCUGAGAAAAUACAGAGAAAGAUACAGAUUCUUUCUAGAAGGCAAAAGCGACGCAGUACGCUGCCAAGAGGCUAUAGAACUGUCAUUGGUAAAUGAAAAAGAAUACAUUUAUUAAAAAAAAGGUCAAUAUAUACGAUAAUCAUUAUGAGAAACUGAAGAGCUUUCUAAUUAAUAUAGACAUUUCCAAGAAAAUAUAAAGUUCAAGUCAUACAUAUUCAUGUGAUUCCUGGAGAAAACUGUUAUUUGGCGUGGAUAUAGAAGUGCACAGCGUGAAAGACCACCGUGGCGACUUAUUGCAAUAACCACACUUUCAACGUAAAAUCAGUUGUUUUACUACAAGCUCAAUGGCAUCAUCCCUUUUACCUGGCGAGAUAACCGUGGAGCUGGAUGAACAUGGGCUGGAGGACCAGAGUGAUGACAAGGAACAGCCCAACAAAAGCACAGAAGACCCACAUCUGGUCAGCACUACCACUGGUGGGAUGGAAAACUCCUGUCACAGCUGUAUGUUGGGCUUUGGAAUAGUGGCUCUAUUGAUUGGCAUAUCAUCAACAAGUGUGUAUUACGCAAACGGCCAAUCAGACCUUGCCCUCUCCAUAGUAGGACACACAAUCCUCUUCCUUGGGAUUGCCUCUAUUGUAUUCAGCUGUGCAUGGAGAUACUACAGGAAGAGAAGGAAGGCAAAGAUCAUGGAAGAUUUGGCUGAGUUGGUUUAUGAGAGCAAACUGAAAAAAAUAAGAAUAUAAAAAUGCCUAUAUGUUGACAAUGAAACUUGCAAUGGGUGGAAAAUAAUGGUAA